CGUACACUCCUGCGGGAGGCAGCAGUGGGGAAUAUUGGACAAUGGGCGCAAGCCUGAUCCAGCCAUGCCGCGUGAGUGAUGAAGGCCCUAGGGUUGUAAAGCUCUUUUGUGCGGGAAGAUAAUGACGGUACCGCAAGAAUAAGCCCCGGCUAACUUCGUGCCAGCAGCCGCGGUAAUACGAAGGGGGCUAGCGUUGCUCGGAAUCACUGGGCGUAAAGGGUGCGUAGGCGGGUCUUUAAGUCAGGGGUGAAAUCCUGGAGCUCAACUCCAGAACUGCCUUUGAUACUGAAGAUCUUGAGUUCGGGAGAGGGGAGUGGAACUGCGAGUGUAGAGGUGAAAUUCGUAGAUAUUCGCAAGAACACCAGUGGCGAAGGCGGCUCACUGGCCCGAUACUGACGCUGAGGCACGAAAGCGUGGGGAGCAAACAGGAUUAGAUACCCGAGUAGUCCCAUGAU
Molecule: ribosomal RNA, 455 nt
Filed under: uncultured organism
Description: partial 16S ribosomal RNA
Rfam family: Bacterial small subunit ribosomal RNA
Source: RNAcentral